RNAcentral lists this ribosomal RNA (736 nucleotides) under uncultured endophytic bacterium. Its description in RNAcentral is "bacterial SSU rRNA". It matches the Rfam family "Bacterial small subunit ribosomal RNA", at positions 771 to 1504 of the family's 1533-position model. The record is from RNAcentral.
AACAGGAUUAGAUACCCUGGUAGUCCAUGCCGUAAACGGUGGGCGCUAGGUGUGGGGUUCCUUCCACGGGCUCCGCGCCGUAGCUAACGCAUUAAGCGCCCCGCCUGGGGAGUACGGCCGCAAGGCUAAAACUCAAAGAAAUUGACGGGGGCCCGCACAAGCGGCGGAGCAUGUGGAUUAAUUCGAUGCAACGCGAAGAACCUUACCUGGGCUUGACAUAUAGAGGAUCGCUACAGAGAUGUGGUUUCCCUUGUGGCUUCUAUACAGGUGGUGCAUGGUUGUCGUCAGCUCGUGUCGUGAGAUGUUGGGUUAAGUCCCGCAACGAGCGCAACCCUUGUCUUAUGUUGCCAGCACGUUAUGGUGGGGACUCGUGAGAGACUGCCGGGGUCAACUCGGAGGAAGGUGGGGAUGACGUCAAAUCAUCAUGCCCCUUAUGUCCAGGGCUUCACACAUGCUACAAUGGCCGGUACAGAGGGCUGCGAUGCCGUGAGGCGGAGCGAAUCUCUUAAAGCCGGUCUCAGUUCGGAUUGGGGUCUGCAACUCGACCCCAUGAAGUCGGAGUCGCUAGUAAUCGCAGAUCAGCAACGCUGCGGUGAAUACGUUCCCGGGCCUUGUACACACCGCCCGUCACGUCAUGAAAGUCGGUAACACCCGAAGCCGGUGGCCUAACCCUUGUGGAGGGAGCCGUUGAAGGUGGGAUUGGCGAUUGGGACGAAGUCGUAACAAGGUAACCGUA